GCAAAGUAUUAAUUUACUGCCCUUCCUCCCAACUUAAAGUGCUUUACAAUCCGAAGACCUUCUUCACACACGCGGCAUGGCUGGAUCAGGCUUUCGCCCAUUGUCCAAUAUUCCCCACUGCUGCCUCCCGUAGGAGUCUGGACCGUGUCUCAGUUCCAGUGUGACUGAUCAUCCUCUCAGACCAGUUACGGAUCGUCGCCUUGGUGAGCCAUUACCUCACCAACUAGCUAAUCCGACCUAGGCUCAUCUGAUAGCGCAAGGCCCGAAGGUCCCCUGCUUUCUCCCGUAGGACGUAUGCGGUAUUAGCGUCCCUUUCGAGACGUUGUCCCCCACUACCAGGCAGAUUCCUAGGCAUUACUCACCCGUCCGCCGCUGAAU
RNAcentral lists this ribosomal RNA (378 nucleotides) under Pseudomonas umsongensis. Its description in RNAcentral is "partial 16S rRNA". The record is from RNAcentral. Lineage: Bacteria; Pseudomonadati; Pseudomonadota; Gammaproteobacteria; Pseudomonadales; Pseudomonadaceae.